CCUUGAAACAGUGAGCUGUCUUUGUUCGAAAUACAGGUGAACGGCAAUCAUGUGAUUAACACACACACACAUAAAAAGCUUUUUAACAGCGCCCGCCCGGCCUCAGAGCCGCCCAGAGAGGAGCCGCCCUGGAUGGACAGAGGGACGGAGGGACGAGCAUCCAGUCGGUUGUGUCCGGCUGCCCGCAGCAGUCUCCGACACCUGCUGCGGCCCGCCCGCUGCCCGUCUGCCUGGCAUCCCUCGAUCCCGUGAAUUAAACAGAGCGGUUCGGAGAGGGCCAAGGAUACGUCUGAGGUCACCAGUGGGAAGCAGCAGCUUGGGUCCUUGAACCUGAAUCCUGACUUGAGGUCCAGCACCCAGCACCAGGCACCCCGGGACCUGGAGCAAUAUCACAGCAGGGACUGUGUCUUCGAGCUUGCAGUUAUUUAUUUGCUCAUUUAUUUGCCAUACCACGAGGCAUACAGGAUCUUCGUUCCCCGACCAGGGAUCGAACUCCCGCCCACUGCAGUAGAAGCACAGUCUUACCUCCUAGACCACCAGGGAAGUCCCAAGCCAUUUAUUUUUCUGGACCCUUCUACUCUCCCUCACGUUCCUCUUGGACCAAGGCAGAGAGAACACCAAGGGGAAACCAGGAAGGGUUCUGAUUGUUGUUGUUGUGGUUGUAAGAUCUGGUUCAACCUCUGGAAUUGGGGUGGGGGCGGGGCCGCUGGCGUGGUUGGGAGGAAUCAGGUUGUAGCUGUCAGGUGUGACCAGAAGCUGUGACCUGGUGAGCUGGCCACUGGGGAGGAGAUGACAGAGCACUGGCUUAAUAGCAAAGCUCUGGAGUAACUCUGGGCAUGCUUCACCUCCCUGUGCCUCAGUUUUCCCAUCUGUAAAGUGGGGAGAAUUAUAGCACCACUUCUGGAGGUCACUAUGAUCUACGAAAAGCACUUAGAACUCCUGGAAUGUAAUAAACAUUCCUUUAACAAACAUCUAUGGAACACCUACUUGGGAUCCUCAGAUUAAAUCAGGGAACUAUACCAAAAGCACAAACUCCAAUUGAGGGAAACAAACAAAGCCCCAAAUAAGUGACUUCUAUAUAGUUUGAUAAGGCGAAAGGGGUGUCACAAGUAGGGGGAAGGGUGGCCCAUAGCUUUAAGCAGGGCCAUUAAGGCGGGCCUCACUGAGUGAAGGCCUGAGGUUUCCGGGGUAGUUGAACAUAGGGGUCUCCGGAAAGAACAUUCCAGACAGAAGGAGCAGUCAGGGCACAGGUAAAUCAGAGGACAGGCAGAUUCCUGGCUGUGUUUGUUUUCCCUUUUUAAAAAUCACUGUGUUUUAACAUCUUUAUUGAGGUGUAGCUAACAUACAAUGGGCUUCCCAGGCUCAGAGGGUAAAGAAUCCACCUGUAAUUCGAAAGACCUGGGUUUGAUCCCUGGGUUGGAAAGAUCCCCUGGAGGAGGGCAUGGCAACCCACUCUGGUAUUCUUGCCUGGAGAAUCUCAUGGUCAGAGGAGCCUGGUGGUCUGCAGUCUAUGGGAUUGCAAAGAGUCAGACACGACUGAGCAACUAACGCUAACAUACAAUAAACUGCACGUGUUUAAAAUGUGCACGUUGGUGAGUUUUGACACAUCCGUAUACACGUGUGAAACCAUCACCACGGUCAAGAAAAUAGCAUACCUGGGGACUCGCCUUCCAACACAGCGGGCCUAGGUCCUGUCCCUGGUCAGCCUCACUGGGUCCACCUCCUGUCCUCUGGCUUACCUCAGCGGCUUCCUCACCGGCCCCCUGCUUCUGCCUGGCCCCUCAGGCCGGUCUCAGACCUCCUCACUCGCUGCUCCUGUCCCUCCAGUGCUCAGGCGCUCUCCCCACCUUAGGGCCUGUGCCCUACUCCUACUGCCCAGUAACUAAGCCGAGUGCUGCAGGGAUGAGCCCUCGUGCCGUGAAGACCUGAUGUAGCAAAAUAAAAUUUUGUCCUGGUCCUUUAAAGAAAGAAAAUAAUAUAUUCAUCACCCACAAAACUUCCUUUCUGUCCCUUGGUCAUCCUUUCCUCCAUUUCCACCCUAUCCCCAGGCAACCAUGAUCUGCUUCUGUCCCUGUAGAUUAAUUUGUAUUUUUAGAGUUGUAUGUAAAUGGAGUCAUAUACUCUUUUUUUUUUUUUUUUUGGCUUGGCUUCAUUCACUCAACUUAAUUGUUUUGAGUUUAUCCAUGUCACUGUGUGUAUCGACAGCUUAUCCUUUUUAUUACUGAAGAAUAUUCCAUUGUAUGUAUAGACCACAGUUUGUUUAUCCGUUCACCUGUUGAUGGACGUUUGAGCUGUUUCCAGAUUUUGUCUAUUACAAAUAAAGCUACUGUGAACAUUCAUGUAAAGUCCUUGUGUACAUGUGUUUCCAUUUCUAGUAGGUAAAUACUAGGAGUGGAAUGUCUGGGUUGUGUGCAAGGUGUAUAUUUAACUUUUUAAGAAACCAUCAAACCAUUUUCCAAGGUGGUUGUACCGUUUUACAUUCUCCCUGGCAGAGUAUGAGAGUUCGACUUCCUCCGCAGACUUGGUAUGGUCAGUCUUUUUUUUUUAAUUAAAAAAAUUUUUAAAGUUGGCUGCUCUGGGUCUUCAUUGCAAUGCACGUGGGGUUUCUCUAGUUGCAGACCACAGGCUCUAGCGUGCCUGGGCUCCAUAGCAGUGGCAUGAAGCUUAGUUGCCCUGAGGCACGUGGGAUCUUAGUUUCCUGACUUGCGUCCUCUGCAUUAGAUCAAACCUGUGUCCCCUGCCUUGGAAGGCAGAUUCUUAACCACUGGACCACCAGGGAAGUCCCUGGUCAGUUUUUUGAAAAAAUUAUUUAUUGGCCACGCCAGGUCUUAGUUGAGGCAUUUCAGAUCUAGUUCCUUGACCAAGAAUUGAACCUGGGCUCCCUGCACUGGGAGCAUGGGAGUCUUAGCUACUAGACCACCAAGGAGGGAAGUCCCCCUGGUCAGUUUUUCAAAUGAUAAUUUUAGCCAUCUAAUAAAUGUGUAGUGACUUUAAUUUGCAUUUCCCUAGUGAUGAAUCAUGAACUUCUUUUCAUGUACUUAUUUGCCAUCUGUAUAUCUUCUUUGGUGAAGUGUCUCUUCAAAUCUUUUGCCCAUUUAAAAAAUGGGGUUUAUUUUCUUUUUAUUGAGUUUGGAG
Bos taurus (domestic cattle) is the source of this 3135-nucleotide long non-coding RNA. The record is from Ensembl. NCBI's taxonomy places the organism in Eukaryota, Metazoa, Chordata, Mammalia, Artiodactyla, Bovidae.